UACGUAGGGUGCGAGCGUUGUCCGGAAUUAUUGGGCGUAAAGAGCUUGUAGGCGGUUUGUCGCGUCUGCUGUGAAAAUCCGGGGCUCAACCCCGGACUUGCAGUGGGUACGGGCAGAUUAGAGUGUGGUAGGGGAGACUGGAAUUCCUGGUGUAGCGGUGAAAUGCGCAGAUAUCAGGAGGAACACCGAUGGCGAAGGCAGGUCUCUGGGCCACUACUGACGCUGAGAAGCGAAAGCAUGGGGAGCGAACAGG
RNAcentral lists this ribosomal RNA (253 nucleotides) under uncultured bacterium. Its description in RNAcentral is "partial 16S ribosomal RNA". It matches the Rfam family "Bacterial small subunit ribosomal RNA", at positions 524 to 776 of the family's 1533-position model. The record is from RNAcentral.